Molecule: ribosomal RNA, 468 nt
Filed under: uncultured bacterium
Lineage: Bacteria
Description: partial 16S ribosomal RNA
Rfam family: Bacterial small subunit ribosomal RNA
Source: RNAcentral
GACGAACGCUGGCGGCGUGCUUAACACAUGCAAGUCGAACGGAAAGGCCCUGCUUUUGUGGGGUGCUCGAGUGGCGAACGGGUGAGUAGCACGUGAGUAACCUGCCCUUGACUUUGGGAUAACUUCAUGAAACUGGGGCUAAUACCGGAUAGGAGCUCCUGCUGCAUGGUGGGGGUUGGAAAGUUUCGGCGGUUGGGGAUGGACUCGCGGCUUAUCAGCUUGUUGGUGGGGUAGUGGCUUACCAAGGCUUUGACGGGUAGCCGGCCUGAGAGGGUGACCGGCCACAUUGGGACUGAGAUACGGCCCAGACUCCUACGGGAGGCAGCAGUGGGGAAUAUUGCACAAUGGGCGGAAGCAUGAUGCAGCAACGCCGCGUGCGGGAUGACGGCCUUCGGGUUGUAAACCGCUUUCGCCUGUGACGAAGCGUGAGUGACGGUAAUGGGUAAAGAAGCACCGGCUAACUACGUG